Molecule: ribosomal RNA, 460 nt
Filed under: uncultured bacterium
Lineage: Bacteria
Description: partial 16S ribosomal RNA
Rfam family: Bacterial small subunit ribosomal RNA
Source: RNAcentral
CCUACGGGAGGCAGCAGUGAGGAAUAUUGGUCAAUGGGCGAGAGCCUGAACCAGCCAAGUCGCGUGAAGGAUGAAGGACCUAUGGUUUGUAAACUUCUUUUAUAUGGGAAUAAAGUGAGGGACGUGUUCCUUUUUGUAUGUACCAUAUGAAUAAGCAUCGGCUAACUCCGUGCCAGCAGCCGCGGUAAUACGGAGGAUGCGAGCGUUAGCCGGAUUUAUUGGGUUUAAAGGGAGCGUAGGUGGUUGAUUAAGUCAGAUGUGAAAGUUUGUGGCUCAACCAUAAAAUUGCAGUUGAUACUGGUUGACUUGAGUAUAGUUGAGGUAGGCGGAAUUCGUGGUGUAGCGGUGAAAUGCAUAGAGAUCACGUAGAACGCCGAUGGCGAAGGCAGCUUACUAAACUAUAACUGACGCUGAAGCACGAAAGCGUGGGGAUCAAACAGGAUUAGAUACCCGUGUAGUC